ACGCCCUUCACGUAUGUCGUCAUCACGGGAGCCGAGCCGCUUCGGGCUCGCGGCGGAGUAUUGAGGAUUUUUGUCAUACGAUACGGUGGCCGGCCCGUCAUAUUUUCACGAAUAUUUAACUGUACAAACGAUAAUUCACAUCGCAUUUGUUAUUCAGCUAACAUCGGCGAUCAUUCGAUGAAAGAAAAUGGUUUGGAAUUACUUGUAGGGUGGGUGGGGUGAGUGAGGGCUGCUGUGAGGAUUCCCACACUGAGGGGCAGUCACACACUCAAUGGUGUCUCCCACAAUGAAGGCGUUGGUGGAUGCAGUUUGGGCGGUGUGGAGCAUCGGGGCCUCGAUCUAUGACUACAUCCACACCAGUGCCAUGGAAGAGCGCAUUCACUCACUGGAGAGUGUUAUAACCAUCCACCAGUGUGUCAUCGGCCUUCUGUCGGCUGCACUCGUGGCUCUCUUCACCUACAUUCUGAUAAGGAAGAACUGACUCAGGACUAGUUAAGCCAGACAAACUACAGCAGUGAAGUCAGAGGGAAUAUGUUGGUGUCAAGCUAUGUUUUGCUCACCUUAAAGGGAUUUUAACAUGUCUGACUUUUACCCAAUUGAUAACGUACUAAACUUUAGCUAUUCAUUUAACUCAUUCAAACGUUGCUGCUUUUUUAUCAGUUAGUGCGAUUCCGGGUAAUCUGGCAAACCAAACCAAGUGUGGAUUCCCAUUAUGUAUUUUACAGGUAGUUCAUGGCAACCACAGAGGAAAGGAUUCAGAGAUGCUACCUGACCAUGGUUUCUUUACACAAGCUUGGGGAAAGCUGAACAAACACAACCAGUGGAUUAGCAGGUUUUUCAACCUGUUUGCUGCCAUCUUCAAUGGAGUCAGCUUUUGUGUCUAGCUUACUUUUAAACAACACUUUAAACUUUUGCCAACAGCAAAUUAUAACUGUUAACCUAUAAUAUCUCAUACAGCUUAUUUCUCAGCUCCAUGGUAAUUUAUUAGUAAAAAUCAGUGACAUCGAUUAAACUCUCGAUUUCACAACUUGAAGUGUCCUUAAUCACUAAAGAAAGGUUGAUGUAGUUAACUUGGUACUUUAAUCAGUGUAUUAACUACUACUUGUUAUUCUUAAUGACUUUUUACUUUAUUUUAGAGGUGAAAUCAGUUGAUGCUCCGCUAUUGUGUUUUAUAGAUUUAACUUUUUUCUGAAGAGGUACUUGUUACACUUGCUCUGUAAUAGCAAAAUGAAUGUCUACUUUUAUAAUGUAAACAAUGUCAAGAGAAUUCUGAAUUGAUGCUACCUACAGGCUACAUCAUUUCACCACAUUUGUUUUUUUUGUAGAACUUUUGUUUUAUUUGGUGUACUGGUGUAAGCAAGGGUUUGCCAAAACACAACAAAUAAUUUAUUUAACAUUUAAAGACAAUAACAGUGUCAUAAUAAAAUGUUUAUUUCUGGAACAACAUGGAAAGAUCAAAUACCAGCAUGUUUCAAAAAAUAUCAAGAAGAUAAAUGGAAAUGUUCAACAAAUAGGCUUUUCAAAUGGAAACUCCUGAGGUUAUCCGUCAAUGUGCCCUCAAGAUAUGAUCAACACAUGUUAAAGAUUCAUGCUGGUUUUAAAUGUUCCCGGUCUGCAGCAGUGUGUACUUGGUGGUAAAACGCUCAACACUUUCACCCUCCAGGGUUUUAACAGCCCUCCAGUGGAGCUUCCCACAGUUCUCUGGGUUUCCGUGCCUAGCUAACUCUUCCUUGAUGUAGUCGAUCCACAGAUCUAAAACAUCAAAUAGUUGUUGUUUCUUAGUGUUAUAUUUUAAAGUAUGAAAGAGAGUUGCCUCUUUAAAGGAUAAAAAAAAACACUGAAUCACACUCACCUUCAUCUGAGGAGCCGAACUCACGAAGUGCUCGCUCGUAGUAAUCUCUCAGAUUACUCAUCUUUGGUGUAACCUGAGAGAAUAAUACAGAUCAGCAAUGGUCAGCUGGUUAAUAGGAAUUUUCGACAUCCGUCACCGGGUACUACAUCACUUUUACCUGCUCUUUCUCGAUCUGAAUCAUCAUCAGGAAGAAUGCCUUAGUGAAGGGUCUGUGUUCAUGUAAGCUGAAACCCAAUAAGUAAAAUAAAGGGUUGGUUUCAAGCUUAUUUUUCAUUUGUAGAUAUAAAGUGGGUUCCAAAAGUCUAAAACUGUACUGAAAAUAAUGUUUCAGGAUUUGAUUAUGCAUAUGAUUUUCCUCAUUUGUAAAUUGCUUUUUUUAUAUAGAAGUAUCUGCUAAAUUAAAUUUAAAACAAAGGAGUAAAAGCAAUAAAGGGAAUAAGGCAUGUCAAUAUAAAAUAGAAAUAUUUAAAAUGCAGACGAAAAUAAUUCUAUUAAAUGUAAAAUUCCAUUUAAAGCAUUUUUACUCAUGGCCUCAGCCUUUAGGGUCCCACUAUACAGAAAGAAAGAAUCUUAGAGCACAUUUGAUGUGUACCUUGUAAAUGUUUUUCUAGCCCUUUUGUAACUACCAGUUUUGUAUGACCACUCAAGGUAUUUUUCCUUCAUGGCAGCCGACACUGCCGGUACUGGGGACAGUAGGCCUUUCUG
Pimephales promelas (fathead minnow) is the source of this 2557-nucleotide long non-coding RNA. RefSeq lists it as uncharacterized. The record is from RefSeq and is a predicted model, not a curated record. Lineage: Eukaryota; Metazoa; Chordata; Actinopteri; Cypriniformes; Leuciscidae.